CAAUUAUUUAUAGCCUCUGGCUAUAGGAAAUUGUUAGUGGCAGACGGGUGAGUAAUGCGUAGGAAUCUACCUAGUAGUACGGAAUAGCCAUUAGAAAUGGUGGGUAAUACUGUAUAAUCCCCGAGGGGGAAAGAUUUAUCGCUAUUAGAUGAGCCUACGUUAGAUUAGCUAGUUGGUGAGGUAAUGGCUUACCAAGGCUAUGAUCUAUAGCUGGUCUGAGAGGACGAUCAGCCACACUGGAACUGAGAUACGGUCCAGACUCCUACGGGAGGCAGCAGUGGGGAAUAUUGGACAAUGGGCGAAAGCCUGAUCCAGCUAUGCCGCGUGAGUGAAGAAGGCCUUCGGGUUGUAAAACUCUUUCAAUAGGGAAGAUAAUGACGGUACCUAUAGAAGAAGUCCCGGCAAACUCUGUGCCAGCAGCCGCCGGGGUAAUACG
This 436-nucleotide ribosomal RNA is filed under the name Ehrlichia canis. RNAcentral's name for it is "bacterial SSU rRNA". It matches the Rfam family "Bacterial small subunit ribosomal RNA", at positions 64 to 527 of the family's 1533-position model. Lineage: Bacteria; Pseudomonadati; Pseudomonadota; Alphaproteobacteria; Rickettsiales; Anaplasmataceae. The record is from RNAcentral.